AGCAGCCGCGGUAAUUCCAGCUCCGAUAGCGUAUAUUAAAGUUGCUGCAGUUAAAAAGCUCGUAGUUGAAUUUCGGGAUCAAUAUGUUGGUCGUGCCUCGGUACGUACUGGCUUAUUGGUUUCUCCCUUCUGACGAACCAUGAUGUCAUUUAUUUGGUGUUAUGAGGAAUCAGGACUGUUACUUUGAAAAAAUUAGAGUGUUUAAAGCAGGCUCACGCUUGAAUACAUUAGCAUGGAAUAAUGAAAUAGGACGUUUGAUUCUAUUUUGUUGGUUUCUAGGAUCGACGUAAUGAUUAAUAGGGAUAGUUGGGGGCAUUAGUAUUCAAUUGUCAGAGGUGAAAUUCUUGGAUUUAUUGAAGACUAACUACUGCGAAAGCAUUUGCCAAGGAUGUUUUUCAUUAAUCAAGAACGAAAGUUAGGGGAUCGAAGACGAUCAGAUACCGUCGUAGUCUUAACCAUAAACUAUGCCGACUAGGGAUCGGAUGAUGUUAAUUUUUAAUGACUCAUUC
RNAcentral lists this ribosomal RNA (509 nucleotides) under uncultured Glomus. RNAcentral's name for it is "SSU rRNA". It matches the Rfam family "Eukaryotic small subunit ribosomal RNA", at positions 569 to 1081 of the family's 1831-position model. Lineage: Eukaryota; Fungi; Glomeromycota; Glomeromycetes; Glomerales; Glomeraceae. The record is from RNAcentral.